RNAcentral lists this ribosomal RNA (468 nucleotides) under uncultured bacterium. RNAcentral describes it as "partial 16S ribosomal RNA". It matches the Rfam family "Bacterial small subunit ribosomal RNA", at positions 28 to 507 of the family's 1533-position model. The record is from RNAcentral.
GACGAACGCUGGCGGCGUGCUUAACACAUGCAAGUCGAACGGAAAGGCCCUGCUUUUGUGGGGUGCUCGAGUGGCGAACGGGUGAGUAACACGUGAGUAACCUGCCCUUGACUUUGGGAUAACUUCAGGUAACUGGGGCUAAUACCGGAUAGGAGCUCCUGCUGCAUGGUGUGGGUUGGAAAGUUUCGGCGGUUGGGGAUGGACUCGCGGCUUAUCAGCUUGUUUGUGGGGUAGUGGCUUACCAAGGCUUUGACGGGUAGCCGGCAUGAGAGGGUGACCGGCGACAUUGGGACUGAGAUACGGCCAAGACUCCUACGGGAGGAAGCAGUGGGGAAUAGUGCACAAUGGGCGGAAGCAUGAUGCAGCAAAGCAGCGUGCGGGAUGACGGCCUUCGGGUUGUAAACCGCUUGCGCAUGUGACGAAGCGUGAGUGACGGUAAUGGGUAAAGAAGCACCGGCUAACUACGUG